RNAcentral lists this ribosomal RNA (495 nucleotides) under uncultured bacterium. RNAcentral's name for it is "partial 16S ribosomal RNA". It matches the Rfam family "Bacterial small subunit ribosomal RNA", at positions 28 to 506 of the family's 1533-position model. The record is from RNAcentral.
GAUGAACGCUGGCGGCGUGCCUAAUACAUGCAAGUCGAGCGAACGGACGAGAAGCUUGCUUCUCUGAUGUUAGCGGCGGACGGGUGAGUAACACGUGGAUAACCUACCUAUAAGACUGGGAUAACUUCGGGAAACCGGAGCUAAUACCGGAUAAUAUUUUGAACCGCAUGGUUCAAAAGUGAAAGACGGUCUUGCUGUCACUUAUAGAUGGAUCCGCGCUGCAUUAGCUAGUUGGUAAGGUAACGGCUUACCAAGGCAACGAUGCAUAGCCGACCUGAGAGGGUGAUCGGCCACACUGAACUGAGACACGGUCCAGACUCCUACGGGAGGCAGCAGUAGGGAAUCUUCCGCAAUGGGCGAAAGCCUGACGGAGCAACGCCGCGUGAGUGAUGAAGGUCUUCGGAUCGUAAAACUCUGUUAUUAGGGAAGAACAUAUGUGUAAGUAACUGUGCACAUCUUGACGGUACCUAAUCAGAAAGCCACGGCUAACUACGU